RNAcentral lists this ribosomal RNA (493 nucleotides) under uncultured bacterium. RNAcentral describes it as "partial 16S ribosomal RNA". It matches the Rfam family "Bacterial small subunit ribosomal RNA", at positions 30 to 523 of the family's 1533-position model. The record is from RNAcentral.
AUUGAACGCUGGCGGCAUGCCUUACACAUGCAAGUCGAACGGUAACAGGUUAAGCUGACGAGUGGCGAACGGGUGAGUAAUAUAUCGGAACGUGCCCAGUCGUGGGGGAUAACUGCUCGAAAGAGCAGCUAAUACCGCAUACGACCUGAGGGUGAAAGCGGGGGAUCGCAAGACCUCGCGCGAUUGGAGCGGCCGAUAUCAGAUUAGGUAGUUGGUGGGGUAAAGGCCCACCAAGCCAACGAUCUGUAGCUGGUCUGAGAGGACGACCAGCCACACUGGGACUGAGACACGGCCCAGACUCCUACGGGAGGCAGCAGUGGGGAAUUUUGGACAAUGGGCGCAAGCCUGAUCCAGCCAUGCCGCGUGCGGGAAGAAGGCCUUCGGGUUGUAAACCGCUUUUGUCAGGGAAGAAAAGGUUCUGGUUAAUACCUGGGACUCAUGACGGUACCUGAAGAAUAAGCACCGGCUAACUACGUGCCAGCAGCCGCCGCCG